AUACGUAGGGGACGAGCGUUGUCCGGAAUUACUGGGCGUAAAGGGCGCGCAGGCGGAUAUUUAAGUCAGCUGUAAAAGGCAUGAGCUCAACUCAUGUAUGCGGUUGAAACUGGGUAUCUAGAGUGCUGGAGAGGUAGGCGGAAUUCCCGGUGUAGCGGUGAAAUGCGUAGAUAUGGUGAAGAACAACAGUGGCGAAGGCGGGUUACUGGCCAGAAACUGACGCUGAGGCGCGAGAGUGAGGGGAGCGAACGGGAUGAGAUACCCGGGUAGUCCUGGCCGUAAACGAUAAAUGCUAGGUGUGGGGGUCGAGAGGCAUCCGUGCCGGAGUUAACGCGAUAAGCAUACCGCCUGGGGAGUACGGUCGCAAGAUUGAAACUCAAAUGAAUUGACGGGG
Molecule: ribosomal RNA, 394 nt
Filed under: uncultured bacterium
Lineage: Bacteria
Description: partial 16S ribosomal RNA
Rfam family: Bacterial small subunit ribosomal RNA
Source: RNAcentral